GAUGAACGCUGGCGGCGUGCCUAAUACAUGCAAGUCGAACGAAGAUUAAUUGGAGUUUACUUUAAUUAAUUUUAGUGGCGAACGGGUGAGUAAUACAUAAGCAACCUACCUAUAUGACUAGGAUAACUAAUGGAAACGAUAGCUAAAACCGGAUAGGUGUUAAUAUGGCAUCAUAUUAAUAUUAAAGGAGAGAGACACAGAUAGAUGGGCUUAUGGCGUAUUAGCUAGUUGGUGGGGUAAGAGCCUACCAAGGCGAUGAUACGUAGCCGACCUGAGCGGGUGAACGGCCACACUGGAACUGAGAGACGGUCCAGACUCCUACGGGAGGCAGCAGUAGGAAAUUUUCGGCAAUGGGGGGAACCCUGACCGAGCAACGCCGCGUGAGUGAUAAGGCCCUAUGGGUUGUAAAGCUCUGUGAUAAGGGAAGAAGCUAUAUAGGUAAUAUAUAGAAGACGGUACCUUAUAAGAAAGCCACGGCUAACUACGUGCCAGCAGCCGCAGUAA
This 504-nucleotide ribosomal RNA is filed under the name uncultured bacterium. RNAcentral's name for it is "partial 16S ribosomal RNA". It matches the Rfam family "Bacterial small subunit ribosomal RNA", at positions 28 to 523 of the family's 1533-position model. The record is from RNAcentral.